CCUCAUUCCCCAGCAGUGGCUGCAGGGGUUGCUGGGUCCCUGUUGUUCCUGCUCCUGCUGCUGGGAGUCACCAUGAGCUGUCAGUGGUGGCAACACAAGGCAGCCAGGAAGCCCCAGGACAGGGCCCCCCCGGAGCCUUCAGGCCCCUGGCAAAAGGGGGAGGUGCUGUACACCCACAUUGUAGGCACUGGGCGGGCAGGGGGAUCCCCCUGCACCACCCCACCCCAGGACCUCCAGGUGACCUUUGCAGAGCUUCCAGGAGCC
Long non-coding RNA from Corvus hawaiiensis (hawaiian crow), 264 nucleotides. RefSeq lists it as uncharacterized. The transcript is spliced from 4 exons. NCBI's taxonomy places the organism in Eukaryota, Metazoa, Chordata, Aves, Passeriformes, Corvidae. The record is from RefSeq and is a predicted model, not a curated record.